UGGGGAAUCUUGGACAAUGGGGGCAACCCUGAUCCAGCCAUGCCGCGUGAGUGAUGAAGGCCUUAGGGUCGUAAAGCUCUUUCGCCUGUGAAGAUAAUGACGGUAGCAGGUAAAGAAACCCCGGCUAACUCCGUGCCAGCAGCCGCGGUAAUACGGAGGGGGUUAGCGUUGUUCGGAAUUACUGGGCGUAAAGCGCACGUAGGCGGACCAGAAAGUUGGGGGUGAAAUCCCGGGGGCUCAACCCCGGAACUGCCUUCGAUACUGGCAAUCUAGAGAUCUGGAGAGGCGAGUGGAAUUCCGAGUGUAGAGGUGAAAUUCGUAGAUAUUUGGAGGAACACCAGUGGCGAAGGCGGCUCACUGGCUCGAUACUGACGCUGAGGUGCGAAAGUGUGGGGAGCAAACAGGAUUAGAUACCCUGGUAGUCCACACCGUAAACGAUGAAUGCCAGUCGUCGGGUAGCAUGCUAUUCGGUGACACACCUAACGGAUUAAGCAUUCCGCCUGGGGAGUACGGUCGC
RNAcentral lists this ribosomal RNA (517 nucleotides) under uncultured bacterium. RNAcentral's name for it is "bacterial SSU rRNA". It matches the Rfam family "Bacterial small subunit ribosomal RNA", at positions 355 to 889 of the family's 1533-position model. The record is from RNAcentral.